CGGCGAACGGGUGAGUAACACGUGGGUAAUCAACCCUCGAUACUGGGAUAGCCCGGGGAAACUCGGAUUAAUACCGGAUGGCCCUUUGGAUCCUCGGAUCUGAAGGAAAAGGUAGCUUCGGCCUCCGAUCGAGGACGAGCCCGCGGCGGAUUAGCUUGUUGGUGAGGUAACGGCCCACCAAGGCGACGAUCCGUAGCUGGUCUGAGAGGAUGACCAGUCACACUGGGACUGAGACACGGCCCAG
This 244-nucleotide ribosomal RNA is filed under the name uncultured bacterium. Its description in RNAcentral is "partial 16S ribosomal RNA". It matches the Rfam family "Bacterial small subunit ribosomal RNA", at positions 96 to 334 of the family's 1533-position model. The record is from RNAcentral.